UGGGCCUCUCCCAAACUUUUACAGCCUCUUGAAUUGCUCACUCCUUCCUGCAGGCAGAGGACAUGCUCUGGACUAAGCAGGAAACUGAUACGGCCCACCUGUAUCCUGCUUUUCACAUCGUUCAGGGAUGGCAAAGGAACAAACUACAUCAUGGCCCUUAUGCAUACAGAAAUUCCCAUGGUAUGUACAUAGAAAUGGAGUUCACCCUUUCCUGGAACAUAAAAUUAAGAAACAUUAUCCAGAAUUAA
RNAcentral lists this long non-coding RNA (248 nucleotides) under Ursus americanus (American black bear). Its description in RNAcentral is "lncRNA (ENSUAMG00000013476.1)". The record is from RNAcentral. Lineage: Eukaryota; Metazoa; Chordata; Mammalia; Carnivora; Ursidae.